AUUGAACGCUGGCGGCAGGCCUAACACAUGCAAGUCGAGCGGAUGAAGGGAGCUUGCUCCUGGAUUCAGCGGCGGACGGGUGAGUAAUGCCUAGGAAUCUGCCUGGUAGUGGGGGAUAACGUCCGGAAACGGGCGCUAAUACCGCAUACGUCCUGAGGGAGAAAGUGGGGGAUCUUCGGACCUCACGCUAUCAGAUGAGCCUAGGUCGGAUUAGCUAGUUGGUGGGGUAAAGGCCUACCAAGGCGACGAUCCGUAACUGGUCUGGGAGGAUGAUCAGUCACACUGGAACUGGGACACGGUCCAGACUCCUACGGGAGGCAGCAGUGGGGAAUAUUGGACAAUGGGCGAAAGCCUGAUCCAGCCUAGCCGCGUGUGUGAAGAAGGUCUUCGGAUUGUAAAGCACUUUAAGUUGGGAGGAAGGGCAGUAAGUUAAUACCUUGCUGUUUUGACGUUACCAACAGAAUAAGCACCGGCUAACUUCGUG
This 484-nucleotide ribosomal RNA is filed under the name uncultured bacterium. RNAcentral's name for it is "partial 16S ribosomal RNA". It matches the Rfam family "Bacterial small subunit ribosomal RNA", at positions 30 to 507 of the family's 1533-position model. The record is from RNAcentral.